Molecule: ribosomal RNA, 492 nt
Filed under: uncultured bacterium
Lineage: Bacteria
Description: bacterial SSU rRNA
Rfam family: Bacterial small subunit ribosomal RNA
Source: RNAcentral
CUUAAAGGAAUUGACGGAGACCCGCACAAGCGGUGGAUGAUGUGGUUUAAUUCGAUGCAACGCGAAAAACCUUACCCACCUUUGACAUGUACGGAAUCCUUUAGAGAUAGAGGAGUGCUCGAAAGAGAGCCGUAACACAGGUGCUGCAUGGCUGUCGUCAGCUCGUGUCGUGAGAUGUUGGGUUAAGUCCCGCAACGAGCGCAACCCUUGCCAUUAGUUGCUACGAAAGGGCACUCUAAUGGGACUGCCGGUGACAAACCGGAGGAAGGUGGGGAUGACGUCAAGUCCUCAUGGCCCUUAUAGGUGGGGCUACGCACGUCAUACAAUGGCUGGUACAAAGGGUUGCCAACCCGCGAGGGGGAGCUAAUCCCAUAAAGCCAGUCGUAGUCCGGAUCGCAGUCUGCAACUCGACUGCGUGAAGUCGGAAUCGCUAGUAAUCGUGGAUCAGAAUGUCACGGUGAAUACGUUCCCGCGCUUUGCACACACCGCCCG